This is a non-coding RNA of Pelobates cultripes (western spadefoot toad), 869 nucleotides long. The record is from the annotation of a GenBank genome assembly. NCBI's taxonomy places the organism in Eukaryota, Metazoa, Chordata, Amphibia, Anura, Pelobatidae.
CAGCAAUUGAUAAAUUUCCUGCUUUACCAGGCUUAGCUCGGGGCAGGAGCUGGUGGCUUAAUAUAGUGGAAAAUGUAUUCAUAUAUACUGUAAUUUUCUUUUCCUGGCUAUUAUUCAUGGCAGCAUAUACACAUGGGUUAGCUCCACCCCUUACAGCCAAUAGGACAGGAAAAUCAACAAGGCUUUAAAAGGAGGCUCCAUUCCUAAGGUCCUCAGUCAGUUUACAAGCUCUACAGUAGAUAGUAUAUGCUACAAUGAAUAGCCAGGAAAAGAAAAUUACGGUAAAUAUGAAUGUAUUUUCCACUUUCUUGGCUAAUCAUGGCAGCAUAUACACAUGGGGCAUACACAAGCUUACAAAGGGAGGGACAGAAACAUAAAUAACAGCCAAACAAUCAGAACAAUUCAACAUAGAUAGAAGAAUGAACUGAGUCAAGUACAUGACGUCCAAAUUGGGCAUCAUUGACUGCUUUAACGAACAGUAUGAAAUGCCUGACAAAUGUGUCUAAAAAGGUUCAAAUGCUAGCUUUACAAAAAGUGUCAGCAGAACCCAUUGCCAUGGAAGUCCACGAUGCUGCAACAGCUUGAGUGGAGAGUGCCCAGAUACCCUCCGGCACAGGUAAAGAAUGGCAUCAAUCUUUGCUUUUAGGUCGGACCUCAGAUGCCAAAUACAAGACAAUCAUAUCCUGUUGAAGAUUAGUGAAUGGGGUUUAUAGGAUCAGCCUGGAGUUCACACAUUCACCUUGCUGCGGUACUAGCCACCAGCACUUUCUGUGCUACAACCAUGGAAGCUCCUGCUAGAGGUUGAAAUUAUGGUUUAGUCAGAGCCUGUGCGACCAGUGGUACGUCACAUAUUGGCUUCAACAGCCUCG